CGACACAGUUCGGUAUAGGGACUAUCGUCCCUCUCACGGCCAACUAGCAAAAUUGCAUUUAUGACUAAUUUUAGCCAAGUAUUUCCCAAUCGUUGCAUUUUGUGUGUGCGUGUCUCUAGUAUGGAUUUACAAAAAUUAAUGAAAAUGUUUUGCGUGGUAGGAGAGUAAACGUAAUUUUAUAAAUGCGUUGUUAAAACCGUGUGGUAGAAGUACCGUGUUAUAUGAGGGUUUCCGCCAUUUUCAAAUGGUGUUAGAGCCGAACCGUGUGGCAGGAAGCCGUGUAAUAGGAGGGAUAUCUGCACUCGUAGUAGAGAAAAAUAUUGCCAUAUUGCCAGAAACAGCGUUUUAUUUUCAACGAAUUUUCACGGCCACUCUCUACCACCAUUACUGCCUCAAAAUCCGUUGCCCCCGAUAUAUUGCAUAUUCAAAAAUAUCGGAAAAUCGAGUGGAGCAUAUGGCAGAUUUUUUAAAGGGGACGGUUUAGACUACAAAAUCUAAAUUUAAUUAAUUAAUUAUGUCGCUUGUUUAUAUAAUUUAAUACUUUUGUGGUAAAAUUUU
RNAcentral lists this long non-coding RNA (558 nucleotides) under Androctonus crassicauda. Lineage: Eukaryota; Metazoa; Arthropoda; Arachnida; Scorpiones; Buthidae. The record is from RNAcentral.